UCAGACGGCCGGGCGGUCGCGGCGGCGCAAGCCGUCGAGGAAAGUCCGGGCUCCACAACGACAUGGCGGCGGGUAACGCCCGCCGAGGGCGACCUCAGGGAUAGCGCCACAGAAAGCAAACCGCCCGGACCUCGGUCCGGGUAAGGGUGAAAGGGUGGGGUAAGAGCCCACCGCGGGCCUGGUGACAGGACCGGCAUGGCAAGCCCCGCCAGGAGCAAGACCGAAUAGGGACGCUGCGCCCAUCUCGCAUGGGCAGGACUGUCGUAGGUCCGAGGCGUCCGGGUAGGUCGCGAGAACCGUCCCGCGAGGGACGGUCCAGAGGAAUGAUCGCCGCGCCGGUUCGCCGGCGGCACAGAACCCGGCUUAUAGGCCGUCUGAUCCC
RNAcentral lists this RNase P RNA (382 nucleotides) under Phenylobacterium sp. RNAcentral's name for it is "RNase P RNA component class A". It matches the Rfam family "Bacterial RNase P class A". From Rfam's summary of the family: Ribonuclease P (RNase P) is a ubiquitous endoribonuclease, found in archaea, bacteria and eukarya as well as chloroplasts and mitochondria. Its best characterised activity is the generation of mature 5'-ends of tRNAs by cleaving the 5'-leader elements of precursor-tRNAs. Cellular RNase Ps are ribonucleoproteins. The record is from RNAcentral. Lineage: Bacteria; Pseudomonadati; Pseudomonadota; Alphaproteobacteria; Caulobacterales; Caulobacteraceae.